Molecule: ribosomal RNA, 514 nt
Filed under: uncultured bacterium
Lineage: Bacteria
Description: bacterial SSU rRNA
Rfam family: Bacterial small subunit ribosomal RNA
Source: RNAcentral
CUGGCUCAGGAUGAACGCUAGCUACAGGCUUAACACAUGCAAGUCGAGGGCAGCAUGAGAUUAGCUUGCUAAUCUUGAUGGCGACCGGCGCACGGGUGCGUAACACGUAUCCCAAUCUACCCAUGGCUCGGGGAUAGCCUUUCGAAAGAAAGAUUAAUACCCGGAUGGUCUGCGAUUGAGACAUCUCGAUUGCAGUAAAGACUUGUCGGCGAUGGAUGGGGAUGCGUCCGAUUAGCUAGUUGGCGGGGUAACGGCCCACCAAGGCGACGAUCGGUAGGGGUUCUGAGAGGAAGGUCCCCCACACUGGAACUGAGACACGGUCCAGACUCCUACGGGAGGCAGCAGUGAGGAAUAUUGGUCAAGUGGGCGAUGGCCUGAACCAGCCAAGUUAAGCGUGAGGGACGACGGCCCUACGGGUUGUAAACCUCUUUUGUAUGGGAAUAAAGUGAGGCACGUGUGCCUUUUUGUAUGUACCUUACGAAUAAGCAUCGGCUAAUUCCGUGCCAGCCGCAGC